GAUGAACGCUAGCGGGAGGCCUAACACAUGCAAGCCGAGCGGUAUUGUUUCUUCGGAAAUGAGAGAGCGGCGUACGGGUGCGUAACACGUGUGCAACCUGCCUUUAUCUGGGGGAUAGCCUUUCGAAAGGGAGAUUAAUACUCCAUAAUAUAUUGAACGGCAUCGUUUAAUAUUGAAAGCUCCAGCGGAUAGAGAUGGGCACGCGCAAGAUUAGCUAGUUGGUGAGGUAACGGCUCACCAAGGCGAUGAUCUUUAGGGGGCCUGAGAGGGUGAUCCCCCACACUGGUACUGAGACACGGACCAGACUCCUACGGGAGGCAGCAGUGAGGAAUAUUGGUCAAUGGGUGCAAGCCUGAACCAGCCAUCCCGCGUGAAGGACGACUGCCCUAUGGGUUGUAAACUUCUUUUGUAUAGGGAUAAACCUACCCUCGUGAGGGUAGCGGAAGGUACUAUACGAAUAAGCACCGGCUAACUCCGUGCCAGCCGCCGCAGUAA
Molecule: ribosomal RNA, 495 nt
Filed under: uncultured bacterium
Lineage: Bacteria
Description: partial 16S ribosomal RNA
Rfam family: Bacterial small subunit ribosomal RNA
Source: RNAcentral